This 460-nucleotide ribosomal RNA is filed under the name uncultured bacterium. RNAcentral describes it as "partial 16S ribosomal RNA". It matches the Rfam family "Bacterial small subunit ribosomal RNA", at positions 338 to 795 of the family's 1533-position model. The record is from RNAcentral.
CCUACGGGGGGCAGCAGUGAGGAAUAUUGGUCAAUGGACGCAAGUCUGAACCAGCCAUGCCGCGUGCAGGAAGACGGCGCUAUGAGUUGUAAACUGCUUUUGUACGAGGGUAAACGCAGAUACGCGUAUCUGUCUGAAAGUAUCGUACGAAUAAGGAUCGGCUAACUCCGUGCCAGCAGCCGCGGUAAUACGGAGGAUUCAAGCGUUAUCCGGAUUUAGUGGGUUUAAAGGGUGCGUAGGCGGGCGGCUAAGUUAGUGGUGAAAUCCCGAGGCUCAACUUCGGAAUUGCCUCUGAUACUUGUCGGCUAGAGAGUAGUUGCGGUAGGCGGAAUGUCUGGUGUAGCGGUGAAAUGCUUAGAGAUCAUGCAGAACACCGAUUGCGAAGGCAGCUUACCAAGCUGCAUCUGACGUUGAGGCACGAAAGCGUGGGGAGCAAACAGGAUUAGAUACCCUAGUAGUC